RNAcentral lists this ribosomal RNA (460 nucleotides) under uncultured bacterium. RNAcentral's name for it is "partial 16S ribosomal RNA". It matches the Rfam family "Bacterial small subunit ribosomal RNA", at positions 338 to 795 of the family's 1533-position model. The record is from RNAcentral.
CCUACGGGAGGCAGCAGUGAGGAAUAUUGGUCAAUGGGCGGAAGCCUGAACCAGCCAAGUAGCGUGCAGGAUGACGGCCCUACGGGUUGUAAACUGCUUUUAUACGGGAAUAACGCGCCUUACGUGUAGGGCUUUGCAUGUACCGUAUGAAUAAGGACCGGCUAAUUCCGUGCCAGCAGCCGCGGUCAUACGGAAGGUCCGGGCGUUAUCCGGAUUUAUUGGGUGUAAAGGGAGCGUAGGCCGCAUGUCAAUGGUGCUGUGAAAUGUCCGGGCUCAACCCGGGCCUUGCAGCGCGGACUGGCGUGCUUGAGUCCGCGGAAAGCAGGCGGAAUUCGUCGUGUAGCGGUGAAAUGCUUAGAUAUGACGAAGAACCCCGAUUGCGAAGGCAGCUUGCUGCAGCGGAACUGACGCUGAUGCUCGAAAGCGCGGGGAUCGAACAGGAUUAGAUACCCCUGUAGUC